GAGGGUAUAGCUCAGUAGUAGAGCGUGUGCUUAGCAUGCAUGAGGUUCUGGGUCCAAUCCCCAGUGCCUCCA
Molecule: transfer RNA, 72 nt
Filed under: Camelus bactrianus (Bactrian camel)
Lineage: Eukaryota; Metazoa; Chordata; Mammalia; Artiodactyla; Camelidae
Also listed under: 2 other names
Rfam family: tRNA
About the family: Transfer RNA (tRNA) molecules are approximately 80 nucleotides in length. Their secondary structure includes four short double-helical elements and three loops (D, anti-codon, and T loops). Further hydrogen bonds mediate the characteristic L-shaped molecular structure. tRNAs have two regions of fundamental functional importance: the anti-codon, which is responsible for specific mRNA codon recognition, and the 3' end, to which the tRNAs corresponding amino acid is attached (by aminoacyl-tRNA synthetases). tRNAs cope with the degeneracy of the genetic code in two manners: having more than one tRNA (with a specific anti-codon) for a particular amino acid; and 'wobble' base-pairing, i.e. permitting non-standard base-pairing at the 3rd anti-codon position.
Source: Rfam by way of RNAcentral